CCUACGGGCGGCAGCAGUGGGGGAUAUUGGACAAUGGGGGGAACCCUGAUCCAGCGACGCCGCGUGAGUGAAGAAGUAUUUCGGUAUGUAAAGCUCUGUCAGCAGGGAAGAAAGCAAUGACGGUACCUGACCAAGAAGCCCCGGCUAACUACGUGCCAGCAGCCGCGGUAAUACGUAGGGGGCAAGCGUGAUCCGGAAUUACUGGGUGUAAAGGGGGCGUAGACGGCUGUGCAAGUCUGGAGUGAAAGGCGGGGGCCCAACCCCCGGACUGCUCUGGAAACUGUAUGGCUGGAGUGCAGGAGAGGUAAGCGGAAUUCCUAGUGUAGCGGUGACAUGCGUAGAUAUUAGGAGGAACACCAGUGGCGAAGGCGGCUUACUGGACUGUAACUGACGUUGAGGCUCGAAAGCGUGGGGAGCAAACAGGAUUAGAUACCCGUGUAGUC
Molecule: ribosomal RNA, 443 nt
Filed under: uncultured bacterium
Lineage: Bacteria
Description: partial 16S ribosomal RNA
Rfam family: Bacterial small subunit ribosomal RNA
Source: RNAcentral